UGUUAAUUUUUGUUACUUGGAUUAAAUAAAUUUGUUCUUAAAAAAUGUUCUGUUUUUUUCGAUUUGAAAUUAUGGUCACCGUAUACAUACUACAUAUUAGCUGUCAUCGAUUGGCUAAACGUUAUAGAGAAGCCAAAAGAACGCACUAUCCUGUAAUUCAAACAGACAGGCAGCACUUAUGGUGCAAGCCAGCACUAAAAUUUCCUCUUAAUCAUGCGCAAUAGUGCUGAACCAUUUUCUUAGGUGGAUAAAAUUUUUAUUCCUUUGUUUCGAGCUUCGUCUAUGCUUUACCAUUGUGUAUAGUAUACAUAUGUAAAACAAAAUUUGGCAGCACUGAGCAAGCGGCGAUAGCAUUUUAAAUGAUGUAUCCGCAUACUCUCCUGUACGAAUUCAACUAUAUAACUUUGUUCUUGCUUUCACAUGUAAAAUUUAACAAUAUCGUAAAACAGCUGUCAAUUUUUACAUGCCUUUUAUUUUACGACAAUCUUGCAAAUAUGCGAGACCAUUUUCAGUGGCAAUCAUGGCAAGUUUACGCAAUGCACAAUCAGCUGAUAAUGCAAAGCGUUUAUUUGGUUCAAAAUAUAAAAUUAAAAGAUAAUUUGAGAAACCAACAGCACAAAUAUUUUAUGAUAAAAUAUCAGACAUAUAGUAGAAAAAAACGACACAUUUUGUAUUACAACGAUAUUGGUGAUUAAAUUUUUUAUGUUGCCGCUCUCUUGAAAAAUAGACUUUUUUGAGUUGUGACACUAUUCAUGUAAAUGAGCGAUAUGUCAACAACUUAGAACAGAAAAUAUCUUUGGGAAAAAAACUAACGAGUUCUAGGCUCCCUGAAAUGAACCGCAGACUUCCCAGUCUGGUGAUCAAGUUGGAGUUUUAAUAAAAUACAAUUAAUAAUAUUAGUAUUUAUGAAUUUGUAUUUCAAAUACUUACCAUGCAGAUUUAUGGUGCAUGUGGUAUUGUUGCCGCGAUCCAAAACAACAACACUGGUAGCGUGUGCUGUCGCCGACGCAGCUGUUCCUGAAGUCGCCAUUAUGAUGUAAUUGUUCCGAUUUUGUUUAGAAACUAAUCCCCAAAUUAUCAAUUAUCUCUUAUAUUUGUUUUUAUAUUUUGACUAACUCUUUAACAA
Zeugodacus cucurbitae (melon fly) is the source of this 1126-nucleotide long non-coding RNA. RefSeq lists it as uncharacterized. The record is from RefSeq and is a predicted model, not a curated record. The transcript has 2 exons. NCBI's taxonomy places the organism in Eukaryota, Metazoa, Arthropoda, Insecta, Diptera, Tephritidae.